Molecule: ribosomal RNA, 497 nt
Filed under: uncultured bacterium
Lineage: Bacteria
Description: partial 16S ribosomal RNA
Rfam family: Bacterial small subunit ribosomal RNA
Source: RNAcentral
GAUGAACGCUGGCGGCGUGCCUAAUACAUGCAAGUCGAGCGAACAGACGAGGAGCUUGCUCCUCUGACGUUAGCGGCGGACGGGUGAGUAACACGUGGAUAACCUACCUAUAAGACUGGGAUCACUUCGGGAAACCGGAGCUAAUACCGGAUAAUAUAUUGAACCGCAUGGUUCAAUAGUGAAAGACGGUUUUGCUGUCACUUAUAGAUGGAUCCGCGCCGCAUUAGCUAGUUGGUAAGUUAACGGCUUACCAAGGCAACGAUGCGUAGCCGACCGGAGAGGGUGGUAGGCCACACUAGAACUGAGACAGGGUCCAGACUCCUACGGGAGGCAGCAGUAGGGAAUCUUCCGCAAUGGGCGAAAGCCUGACGGAGCAACGCCGCGUGAGUGAUGAAGGUCUUCGGAGCGUAAAACUCUGUUAUUAGGGAAGAACAAAUGUGUAAGUAACUAUGCACGUCUUGACGGUACCUAAUCAGAAAGCCACGGCUAACUACGUG